CACCAGGUUGAUUCUGCCUGACGUAGACGCUAUUCCCUAAGAUUAACCCAUGCAUGUUUUUGACAUUUGAAAAAUGGACUGCUCAGUAAUACUCACUUUAUUUUAUGUAAAUUUUUAAUUAACUACGUUAAAGUGUAGAUAAGAUGUUUACAGUAAGAGUGAGACCUAUCAGCUAGUUGUUAAGGUAAUGGCUUAACAAGGCUGUGACGGGUAACGGUAUUACUUUGUAAUAUUCCGGAGAAGGAGCCUGAGAGACGGCUACUAAGUCUAAGGAUUGCAGCAGGGGCGAAACUUGACCUAUGGAUUUUAUCUGAGGCAGUUAUGGGAAGUAAUAUUAUAUUGUUUCAUAUUUUAAAAGUAUAUGAGGUGAUUAAUUGGAGGGCAAAUCAAGUGCCAGCAGCCGCGGUAAUACUUGUUCCAAGAGUGUGUAUAAUGAUUGAUGCAGUUAAAAAGUCCGUAGUUUAUUUUUUAAGAAGCAAUAUGAGGUGUACUGUAUAGUUGGGAGAAAGAUGAAAUGUGACGACCCUGACUGGACGAACAGAAGCGAAAGCU
Molecule: ribosomal RNA, 552 nt
Filed under: Vairimorpha ceranae
Lineage: Eukaryota; Fungi; Microsporidia; Nosematidae
Description: SSU rRNA
Rfam family: Microsporidia small subunit ribosomal RNA
Source: RNAcentral